GUGAUAUUUAUCAGUGGAUUAGUCUACUGAUGAGUUGGGAGUGGGAUGUGAUGUUGGGAGGUGAAGCCUGGUGGGAGGACGUGGGUCACGAGGGCAUGGUCUGGAAAGAUCUAUCUCCCUUCUCUCUCCCUCUCUCCCUCUGCCCCUCCCCCCCCCUUGCGCUCUCUCUCUCUCUCUCUCCCUCCUUCCUGCUGCCUGGCCAUGAGCUCUUUCUCCUCUGCCAUGCUGCCCUGCCUUGGAGCCAGCUGACUAUGGACUGAAACCUCUACAAACUGUGAGUCAAAAGAAAACUUCCCUCCUUACAGUUACGGGUGCCAGGUAUUGUGCCACAGCACAGAAUGUCACUAAGACACCAUAGUAUGUCAGACUACUUUGCUUCUCAGACCACUGCAGGUUCUCUGCAAAAGAGAUAUGAUGCUGAAAUGAUAACAGGAAGUGAAAGUCAACAACAUUCGUGUCAGUGUGUCUCACUCUGCUCUCUGAGUCCUGGAGUCUCAUUGGCUAGCCUCAGUGGAAUCAUGAUGAGGUACAAUGGUCCUCGGAAUCCGUGAACCUGGCAACCACCGUCCUUGGUAGCAUCCUAACUCUGGACACCAGAGCCCUGCUACUCCUGUUUCUGGACUGAAUAAGAGAAAAGGUUUUACUGGAACAUUGGCGGGAAGAUAGAAAAGGAAGCCAGCUUAGGUUGUUGGAGCCAAGUCAUCUGUCGCCCUCCGUGGAGCUGAGGAAACAUGGAUAAAGGCCACUCUGAGACAAAUAGGAAGGCACAGCAGCGAUGUGCACCUGGCCGAGUGGUUGUGGAUGGUGACCCCAUCAACAGCCCCAGAGUGGAGAUGGCCUUGGCCAAGACACCAAGGAAGGCACGCCCCUGCGUGCCCUGAGGGUGAAGAGCAAUCCCAGAAAACAGGUUAAAUCAACAAAACCUGCCCCUGUGAGAGUAUUAAAGUGGAA
This is a long non-coding RNA of Heterocephalus glaber (naked mole-rat), 951 nucleotides long. Lineage: Eukaryota; Metazoa; Chordata; Mammalia; Rodentia; Bathyergidae. The record is from Ensembl.